GUAAUAUAUCGGAACGUACCCUAGGGUGGGGGAUAACGUAGCGAAAGUUACGCUAAUACCGCAUACGCUCUACGGAGGAAAGCAGGGGACCGCAAGGCCUUGCGCUCAUGGAGCGGCCGAUAUCGGAUUAGCUUGUUGGUGGGGUAAAAGCCCACCAAGGCGACGAUCCGUAGCUGGUCUGAGAGGACGACCAGCCACACUGGGACUGAGACACGGCCCAGACUCCUACGGGAGGCAGCAGUGGGGAAUUUUGGACAAUGGGGGCAACCCUGAUCCAGCCAUGCCGCGUGUGUGAAGAAGGCCUUCGGGUUGUAAAGCACUUUUGUCCGGAACGAAACGGUUGAUGCGAAUAACUUCAGCUAAUGACGGUACCGGAAGAAUAAGCACCGGUAACUACGUGCCAGCAGCCGCGGUAAUACGUAGGGUGCAAGCGUUAAUCGGAAUUACUGGGCGUAAAGCGCGCGUAGACGGUUUGUACGUCAGAUGUGAAAUCCCCGGGCUCAAACCUGGGAACUGAUUGAGAACUGAUGGUUAGAAGGUAUCAAAGAGG
RNAcentral lists this ribosomal RNA (550 nucleotides) under uncultured bacterium. RNAcentral describes it as "bacterial SSU rRNA". It matches the Rfam family "Bacterial small subunit ribosomal RNA", at positions 110 to 659 of the family's 1533-position model. The record is from RNAcentral.